GCUGCCAUGGCUCCGCGGCGUCCGGACGGGGCCACCCCGGGACCGGGCUUUUAUAGAGCGACGGAGGCUUUCCUGGAAAUCACGUGGGGAAACGAAACUGAAACCGUCGCCGGUGAGAGGGAGCGGCAGGGAGGCUGCGGGUUCGCAGCUGCGUGGUGCGGGGAUCCCGCUUCAGCGCCGCGCCUCCAGGACGAAGAUGAAAAACCAUGGUUAUGGAGGGGCACUAAGCACCUGGAGCCACCAGAGCCAAGGCCUGGACAGGGACAAAGUGACACCACACAGGACAUAAGGGAGAAGAGCCCAGCAGAGGACCCAAUGCAAAAGUCAUGGGAGAAAUCCAGAGCAAGAGCAGCACCACAGCACUACACACAUCACAGACAUCUACCAGACUCAGAGACCAUCUUUGCAGAUUCCUUCCCAGAUACAAGGAAAAAAUCAUUAAAAAAAAAGGAAAGUGAUUCACAUAGCAAAGUGACAAGGAACAUAGCAGCUACAGAACGACUUCUUCUAAGAGAAAAAGGACACAUCGAGGAAAAAAGCACUCAACAUUCGGGUUUUGAGAAAUACCCUAACCCAAGAAUGCUGAAACAGAGGUGGUUUUUUUUUUCCAAACAUUAAAAACAUGGAUUAUUAUUUUUUUUUAAAUUAACUUAAAUACACAACUGAAACACAAACACCAAGCAAGCGCCUGGAGAAACAAACGAAAAGAAGGAAUGGAAGGUGAAUUUGACUCGUUUAAUUUAAACACUGAGGUUGGGUGGAUUGCACCACAUGGAAUAAAUAAUGGAGAAGAUCACGGUGAGGUUGUUGAUCUUGUACUUAACAUGAUUUACCAAGGAUUAACAGCACAGCCCAAGAGAGUACUUAAUGAGAAGCCCUCUGACAAGUGAUUGCAGUUGGGCAGAAUCCCUUUGGCAGAGUGGGUUGUGGAGCAGGGAAAUGCCCCCACCACCCAACAACGAACACUUCCCCAAGGGCGAGAGGGAUGAUCAGUUUCUGGGAUUGCAAUCCUGCAGUCCCACCUGCACAACAGCUCCUUGCUCAGGGCAUGGAACCUCCUUGACAGCAGCUGGCUGCAGGCACACCCAGUCAAACAACAACACAAAAGCAGACCUUGUCCUUUCACCUUGCAAGAGCAAACACACAGGCUUCAUAGCACAGCUGCUGUACCUUGGACCCUAUGGAAACAGACCAGGCUCCUCCUUUCAUGUCCUGGGGCCAAGCCAGGAAACACAGAACCAACUGUGUACACAGCUAACCAUACACCUGCUACAGGCAUCACCUCGGGGUGGGCAGGCUGAAGGAAUGUAAGUGGUUUCUUUUUGUUUGGUUCUUUUCCCUCCCCACAAUCCCCGCAUUAAAAAAUAAAAUAAAAUA
Molecule: long non-coding RNA, 1377 nt
Organism: Centrocercus urophasianus (Greater sage-grouse)
Lineage: Eukaryota; Metazoa; Chordata; Aves; Galliformes; Phasianidae
Exons: 3
Source: RefSeq, a predicted model, not a curated record